This is a long non-coding RNA of Passer domesticus (house sparrow), 1945 nucleotides long. RefSeq lists it as uncharacterized. The transcript is spliced from 8 exons. NCBI's taxonomy places the organism in Eukaryota, Metazoa, Chordata, Aves, Passeriformes, Passeridae. The record is from RefSeq and is a predicted model, not a curated record.
GGGCCUUCAUAAUCUUGAGGGGUGGGCCUGUGUGAACCUUGUGAAAUUUAACAAGGCCAAGAUCCUGUAUGUGACUUGGGGAAAUCCCAAGCACAAAUACAGGCUGAGUAAAGAACAUAUUGAAAACAGCCCUGUGGAGGAGGACCUGGGGAUGCUGGUGGAUGAGAAGCUCAGCACAACCCAGCCAAGUGCACUCACAGCCCAGAAAGUCAGCCCUGUCCUGGACUACAUCAAAAGCAGCAUGGCCAGCAGGGUGAGGGAGGGGAUUCUCCCCCUCUGCUCUGCUCUUGGGAGACCCCACUUGUGUCCUGCAUCCAGCUCUAAGGUCCCCAACACAAGAAGGAAAUGGACCUGUUGGAGCAAGUUGAGAGGACACCAACAAGUAAAUCAGAAAGCUGGAGCACUUCUCCUGUGAAGAAAGGAUUUAAGAGAUUGGAGCAUCCUCCUUUUUGAUUUGUUUUUCUUUACCAAGCAGUGUAUUGGACACAGAGUAAAACUGUAGGAUUGGACUUGUCUUGUUCCUACUGCUGCCUGCAGAUUUAGCUGUGAAAAAGCAGAUGACAGAAGUCUGGAUUUCAACAAGAAGCAGAGCUCCCAUAUGAAGCACAAAUAUUUCAAUGUUGUAAUUAGAGCACACUAAGGGAGUGCGAAAGUCCACGCAGAAACCAAGCGAAGAACAAUCUGUGGAAAAUCUCUCUUUUAAGCCCCUGGUGCUGGCCUCCUCUGAUAAGAACUCCAUACUACAAGAAAAUAUGUAUGUUCUUUGGAAGAUUAAAUUAAAGGCAGGAUAAGAAGAAGAUGACAAUGAUUCUAAAAGGACUACUAAAGCAAGACAGAACAAGAGGAAUAAAAGAAAAGAUUUGUUGAGCCUGAAAUCAUGCAGUCAGAAACUGCAAACAGGAGUGCACUUGCUGCAUUGUACCCGGGAUUCUUCUCCCAGAAAGGAUGGAGAAAUGCUGGACUUGUGCUUCAACUCCUGAGACACAUGGAGUUGCAGAGCAUCCAGGCAGUCCUUCAAAGGACAGCCUUUAUGGUCUUAGAAUACUCACCGCUUCACAUACACUUCAUCUUGAAUAAGACUUGUUUGACAGCAACAGAAGGAACUCAAAACAGAAGAGAGUCAUAAUUGCUUUAUGCCUACACUUCCCUGGCUCCUGUGCAUGAAGUUUGCACAGAGAAGCUGUGUCAGCACUGGGAGAAACUGAUGUGACUGCAGUUCAUCUUUACCAAGCUUGUUGUAAAUUCUGUUAAUAACAAUGGAUCAGCUGCAAAUGUAUAGGACAAAUGUAAGAAAUGGAAGGAAAUAGUGAGGAUGAUUCUUUGUUGGUGCCCUCAAGCCACCUUCUUCAGAAUUGACAGGUGCUAGAUGUUGUAUCCCUUCCAUCACAUUCAACUCCACACCAGCAGAUCUUUCCCCAGGAGCUCUCUGAAACAGUUUUGAAUAUGUUUAAACUCUCGCUCACCUCUAUGUCUUGCAAUAAUGAGUUCUGCAGUUUUUUUGUAAGUUGUGUAAAAACAGUUUUAUUUGUUGCUCUUCCUAAUAAAAAACAUUGGGGCACCUCUAGUUCUUACACUCAUAAUAGCUUGUAAUUACUGCUCGUCUGCUAGAUAAGACUGUGUAGACCCAUUUGGUGACACCCUUUAGUCCUGCCUUUUCCAAGAUGAAGAGCUGCAGGCUAUAUGCACAUGAAGUCUGUUCUGUAUUUCUAAUCACCCUUACCAUGACUUCAAAACUACACCAAGCUGUUUUCCAAAUUGAUUGAAUUGGUUUGUGUUCAAGAUGUGAGCAUGCCAUGGAUUUACAAAGCAGUGCAAAGAUACUUUUUGUUUUGUUCCCCAUUCAAUUCCUAACAACUUACAACAUUAGGUUUGCCUUUAUGAAAAUGGCAGAACAUUGUGCUAAUGUUUUCAGAGAAGCAGUCAAAUAUUUUCUGAAUGGGGUUAG